Molecule: long non-coding RNA, 1115 nt
Filed under: Gossypium barbadense (sea-island cotton)
Lineage: Eukaryota; Viridiplantae; Streptophyta; Magnoliopsida; Malvales; Malvaceae
Description: long non-coding RNA (GBAR_LNC000893)
Source: RNAcentral
UUUAGUUGAGUGGUAAAUUAAAGAUUUUACUAAUGCAAUCGAUGUGGUUUUUAUUGUUUUUCUUUUAAAUGAAAAAUACUUGAUGGGCGUCGAAACCACCAAAAAUAAUUCCUACAAAAUAACUUUAAUUAGUAGUAAGAGUGGUAGUAGGGUCGAGUCCACGGGGAUUGGAUGCUUUAGUCAACUUCCGUGUAUAGCUUAUGAUCAUAGUGUUUGUCGUGUUGAAGGUCGUGGCAACAGUCGUGCCCACGAUGCCAAUCGUACCUGCAGAAAAUAAAAAUAAAAGUAAAUUGGGGGAUUUCGAAAUGUCUAGAAAUUAAAUAAUUGAAAAAACAUAAAUAACUAAUUAAAUAAAUUAGAAAAUAAAUUCAAAAUUUUUGCAAUCAGAUAAAAUAAGCCUUAGCCUUAGACUCGGUAAUUUCGUAUCAAGAAUCGAUCCUCGAAAAUUAAUCUUCUCCUCCAAUCGAUAAGCUGGUUAUAGCAGCUAAGAACGUCCUAACCACCAAUUCUUCCUCUCAUAGCUGGUUCUGGUACGACCUGCAAACCAACCCUUACCAAUUAUCUAACCGGGAUACACGUGUUCCCGAUUCAAGAUUCCGGCAGCCUUGCAUUUUGAAGAACCCAAUUCAAAUUAACGGCCUCAACCGCGUGGGUCGUUUAAAUCCAAUCACUUCUUUCUCGAUUUGUUCUCGGAGAUCCGAAUACAGCAUGACCGGCUCAUUUCUCCAACUGUCAGCUAACACGACUCCAACACAACGUGCACUUUUUGACUUGUAAUCGAGUUAACCUUAAGGGAUGAGUUGUCAAUCCCGAUACUUAGGAAAAGAAUGAAUAUCGAUUGAACGGAUUUUAGCACGAAUUCGUAUCUCACGAUUCCCGACCGGAAAGAACACCGGCCUAAAGCUAAGAUAAAAUUUAGUUAAGCAUGAAUUUAAUCAUGCUUUGUAUGUUGUGGAAGGUGAUUGAGGAUAAUGGAAGAAUUUAGGGAAUGGAAAGACUUGAAAGGCAAUUAGCUCAAUUUAUAAAAGCAAGCAAAAUGCCAAUGGGAAUAGCAGUCGCUCACGUCAAUGCCAAAGAAAAAAGAAAGAACAAUUCUAUUCCAAAUUGGAGUAGGA